RNAcentral lists this ribosomal RNA (459 nucleotides) under Bacillus licheniformis. RNAcentral's name for it is "bacterial SSU rRNA". It matches the Rfam family "Bacterial small subunit ribosomal RNA", at positions 998 to 1457 of the family's 1533-position model. Lineage: Bacteria; Bacillati; Bacillota; Bacilli; Caryophanales; Bacillaceae. The record is from RNAcentral.
CCCUAGAGAUAGGGCCCUCCCCUUCGGGGGCAGAGUGACAGGUGUCGCAUGGUUGUCGUCAGCUCGUGUCGUGAGAUGUUGGGUUAAGUCCCGCAACGAGCGCAACCCUUGAUCUUAGUUGCCAGCAUUCAGUUGGGCACUCUAAGGUGACUGCCGGUGACAAACCGGAGGAAGGUGGGGAUGACGUCAAAUCAUCAUGCCCCUUAUGACCUGGGCUACACACGUGCUACAAUGGGCAGAACAAAGGGCAGCGAAGCCGCGAGGCUAAGCCAAUCCCACAAAUCUGUUCUCAGUUCGGAUCGCAGUCUGCAACUCGACUGCGUGAAGCUGGAAUCGCUAGUAAUCGCGGAUCAGCAUGCCGCGGUGAAUACGUUCCCGGGCCUUGUACACACCGCCCGUCACACCACGAGAGUUUGUAACACCCGAAGUCGGUGAGGUAACCUUUUGGAGCCAGCCGCC